Molecule: long non-coding RNA, 1441 nt
Organism: Alligator mississippiensis (American alligator)
Lineage: Eukaryota; Metazoa; Chordata; Crocodylia; Alligatoridae
Exons: 4
Source: RefSeq, a predicted model, not a curated record
AUCAUCGCAGCGCCACGGGAUUCCAAGCAGUUGCCGGCGGAGGCUGAAGCGGUGCUGCCGGGCACCCAGGGUCUGCGGAGACGGUAAUCAUCAGGCGCCGUUUGGAGAGCGACAGGAAAACAAGUUUCGGGGAGGAUUUUGCUCUGCAAUUCCUCACCCGAGUGAGCAGGUCAGGAUCAGGUCCUUGGGCAACGCUGCUGGUGGCACUGGCAGGGCUAGAGCUGGGUGGGGAGCGAGGGGCUCUUGUGCUUUCAGGCCUGUGGCCCAUGUCCAGAAAAAACAUGAAACAUCAAGAAGGAGCCGACAGGACCCUGCCCUUGGUGUGAGGGACUGAGUAACGCUCCCUGCAGCUAUGUGUGCAGGGUGCAGGAGCUGGGCAUGCUCUGAAUGUCACCCCCCGCAAGGCCGUGAUAAGAAAUGUUGCUUCUUUAACUCUGCAUGUGUUUUAUCUCCAAUUCAGAAUAUCUUUUCUGGCACAGGUGUCGCACAUCUUCUCAAUGGUACCCAGGACAGGGCUCCCUUCCCCGCCAGGAUGGCUGGAGUGCGGUGCACAGCCAGUGUGGACUGGACCCUGGUUACAAUCCACUUAGAGCCAUCUUUCUUGAUGGCGCAUAGCAGGACAAUUGGUCUUUCCUGGGUACCAGUACGCCUGGAAUAAAGCUGCAGGCACAAGCCAGAAGCACCUGUGAGGUGCAAAAAGUCCAGUGCAGGGUGGCAGGAGUUUCCCGUGGAUGGCAGGGAAGGGCCAGGAAGGGAAGAUAAGGGAAGAAGACCAGUCCUGGCAUGGGCAAGCAGAGAGGGGAAAGUGCGGGAGGGAGGAAAAGUGUAGAUUUGUUUGCGGGGAAGAGGCUGUGCACGAGGAUGGCUUCCAACAGGAUGGCAUAGUCCCUUUUAGGGGUAGGCGUCCCCCCAUCGAGGGCAGCGACUGCAGUUUGAGGCAGCGAGGGACAUCAAUCGGAGGAGACGCAGGAGACCUAAGCACCGGAGCCGGAGGGAGGAGUGCGGCGUCACCAGGGCCUGUGAGCACCCGCCCAGCAGCGCUCCAUCCCGCAGGGCAGUGAUUCCCAGCCCGGCCGGCGAGGAGGUGGAGGAAGAGGAGGAUGAAGAGGAGGAGGAGUAAGAUGGAAGGUCCCCGGAAGAAGCUGCCCUCUUCCUUGUGAAGAAACACCUGCAGGACCCAGAGGAGCUAUGAAACUUCCCCAGCGGAGCCGGCACCCAGUCAGUCCUCCAUUCUGCCAUGCAGCCCAUGGCAGGAGUUCACCCCCUGGGACUGGGAGCACGCAAGGGGACACACUUAGCCCAGGGGCGCUGCUCGAGAUGCUGGAUGGGAAGGACAGGCAGCGCUUCCUGCUGGCCAUCAUUAGCAUGACCAUCGCCACGGACCAGAGCAGAGAGGUGGCUGUGGAGCUGGAGGGCCUGAAAGCGACUGUGCUGGACAGGA